UGAAGGAGGAAUCGCUAGUAAUCGCAGGUCAGCAUACUGCGGUGAAUACGUUCCCGGGCCUUGUACACACCGCCCGUCACACCAUGGAAGUUGGCCACGCCCGAAGCCGUUACUCCAACCCUUGUGGAGGAGGACGUCGAAGGUGGGGCUGAUGACUGGGGUGAAGUCGUAACAAGGUAGCCGUACCGGAAGGUGCGGCUGGAUCACCUCCUAA
RNAcentral lists this ribosomal RNA (214 nucleotides) under Synechococcus sp. UW76. RNAcentral describes it as "partial 16S ribosomal RNA". It matches the Rfam family "Bacterial small subunit ribosomal RNA", at positions 1321 to 1533 of the family's 1533-position model. The record is from RNAcentral. Lineage: Bacteria; Bacillati; Cyanobacteriota; Cyanophyceae; Synechococcales; Synechococcaceae.